This 417-nucleotide ribosomal RNA is filed under the name uncultured bacterium. RNAcentral describes it as "bacterial SSU rRNA". It matches the Rfam family "Bacterial small subunit ribosomal RNA", at positions 355 to 787 of the family's 1533-position model. The record is from RNAcentral.
UGGGGAAUAUUGCACAAUGGGGGAACCCUGAUGCAGCGACGCCGCGUGCAGGAAGAAGGUUUUCGGAUUGUAAACUGCUUUAGACAGGGAAGAAACAAGACAGUACCUGUAGAAUAAGCUCCGGCUAACUACGUGCCAGCAGCCGCGGUAAUACGUAGGGAGCAAGCGUUAUCCGGAUUUAUUGGGUGUAAAGGGUGCGUAGACGGGGAAUGCAAGUUGGUUGUGAAAUCCCCUCGGCUCAACCGAGGAAUUGCAACCAAAACUAUAUUUCUUGAGUGCUGGAGAGGAAAGUGGAAUUCCUAGUGUAGCGGUGAAAUGCGUAGAUAUUAGGAGGAACACCAGUGGCGAAGGCGACUUUCUGGACAGUAACUGACGUUGAAGCACGAAAGUGUGGGGAGCAAACAGGAUUAGAUACCC